UGGCCUCACUGUGGAAAGUAUGGUGGU
Molecule: non-coding RNA, 27 nt
Filed under: Rattus norvegicus (Norway rat)
Lineage: Eukaryota; Metazoa; Chordata; Mammalia; Rodentia; Muridae
Source: RNAcentral